RNAcentral lists this ribosomal RNA (254 nucleotides) under uncultured bacterium. Its description in RNAcentral is "partial 16S ribosomal RNA". It matches the Rfam family "Bacterial small subunit ribosomal RNA", at positions 524 to 776 of the family's 1533-position model. The record is from RNAcentral.
CACGUAGGGGGCGAGCGUUGUCCGAAGUUACUGGGCGUAAAGCGCGCGUAGGCGGCUCUUUAAGUCUGGUGUGAAAGGUUCAGGGCUCAACCCGAACAGUGCACUGGAUACUGGUUGGCUUGAGUGUGGGAGAGGGAUGCGGAAUUCCAGGUGUAGCGGUGAAAUGCGUAGAUAUCUGGAGGAACACCGGUGGCGAAGGCGGCAUCCUGGACCAUUACUGACGCUGAGGAGCGAAAGCCAGGGGAGCAAACGGG